Molecule: ribosomal RNA, 999 nt
Filed under: Triticum aestivum (bread wheat)
Lineage: Eukaryota; Viridiplantae; Streptophyta; Magnoliopsida; Poales; Poaceae
Description: partial small subunit ribosomal RNA
Source: RNAcentral
AUGGCGGCAGUGCAAGGCCUAGGCAAAGAGCGUCCGCUGUACAAGGACGCGUCGGCGCCGGUGGAGGCGCGCGUGCAAGACCUGCUGGUCUGCAUGACGCUGCAGGAGAAGGCAUGCCAGAUGGCCCAGAUCGAGCUCUCUAUGGCGUCGUCCCGCGCCCUCACGGAGCUCGGCGUCGGCAGCCUCCUCAACGGCGGCGGCAGUCUGCCCUGGGAACGCGCAUCCCCGUCCGACUGGGCUGGUAUGGUCGACGGCAUGCAGCGCCUCGCCCUCUCGUCCUGCCUCGGCAUCCCCAUCAUCUACGGCAUCGAUGCCGUCCACGGCAACAACAACGUCAUCGGCGCCACCAUCUUCCCCCACAACGUCGGCCUCGGAGCCUCCAGGCACAUUACAUACCGAUCGACCACGUUGAGCAAUAUAGUAGCUUUUUGUACGUUUACUACGUUGACCACGCCCUACAUACAUGCUCCAUUCAUUUCCUGCAGGGACCCGGAGCUUGUGCGAAAGGGCAAACCCUAUUUGACGCUGGUAGCUAGCUCGGCUGGUUGGCUCCCUUGGAUCCACAAUGAGGUCGGCAGUUCGAUCCCAACUUGUGCGCCUCAAUUUCGAAUUUUUGCUCGACGUGUGCUUAUUGGGCCAGCCCGUUUGCGCUUCGCUUCAGCGAAGCCGCGUCGCUCGGACGCUCACGGGCGGCGUAUAGGAGCUCUCGUGCGAAAGAUCGGCGAGGCAACAAUGCUCGAGGUUCAUGCCACCGGCAUGCACUGGACCUUUGCCCCCUACGUCGCCAAGGUAGAUGCUCUAGUUGCUGCUUGGCUGCCUGGAAGUGAGGGCAUGGGAGUUGCUGAUUGCCUCUUUGGAGACCAUGAUUUUGUGAGCACGUUGCCUGUAACUUGGUUUAGAUAUGAUGAUCAACUACCUAUAAAUAUUGCAUGUGCUGACUAUGAUCCAUUAUUUCCUUUUGGAUAUGAGCUGAAAUGUUCAAAAGCCUUGGAGAUUUAG